This 339-nucleotide RNase P RNA is filed under the name uncultured Blautia sp. RNAcentral describes it as "Bacterial RNase P class A". It matches the Rfam family "Bacterial RNase P class A". From Rfam's summary of the family: Ribonuclease P (RNase P) is a ubiquitous endoribonuclease, found in archaea, bacteria and eukarya as well as chloroplasts and mitochondria. The record is from RNAcentral. Lineage: Bacteria; Bacillati; Bacillota; Clostridia; Lachnospirales; Lachnospiraceae.
GCAGACCAGGUAAUCGCGGCUGGACAGACGAAAGGGUUCAGACGAGGAAAGUCCGGGCUUCACAGGGCAGGAUGCCGGAUAACGUCCGGUGGAGGCAACUCCCAGACCAGUGCAACAGAAAUAAACCGCCGGUUUUCCGGUAAGGGUGGAAAGGCAGUGUAAGAGACUACCGCCGGCCUGGUAACAGGACGGGCACAUGUAAACUCCAUUUGAAGCAAGGCCGAGAAGAAAGCGAUACGGCUGCCCGUCGUGCUUUCAGGUGGGCCGCUUGAGCCAUUCGGUAACGGAUGGCCUAGAUAGAUGAUUACCCAAGACAUAACCCGGCUUAUAGGUUUACUU